This is a non-coding RNA of Podarcis lilfordi (Lilford's wall lizard), 67 nucleotides long. NCBI's taxonomy places the organism in Eukaryota, Metazoa, Chordata, Lepidosauria, Squamata, Lacertidae. The record is from the annotation of a GenBank genome assembly.
GAUAGCUCAGUGGGUAGAGCAUGAGACUCUUAAUCUCAAGGUUUGUGGGUUUGAGCCCUACGUUGCA